CCUACGGUGGCUGCAGUGGGGAAUAUUGGACAAUGGGCGAAAGCCUGAUCCAGCCAUGCCGCGUGUGUGAAGAAGGCCUUCGGGUUGUAAAGCACUUUCAGUGGGGAAGAAAGCCUUGGGGCUAAUACCCUCGAGGAAGGACAUCACCCACAGAAGAAGCACCGGCUAACUCCGUGCCAGCAGCCGCGGUAAUACGGAGGGUGCGAGCGUUAAUCGGAAUUACUGGGCGUAAAGCGCGCGUAGGCGGUCUGAUAAGCCGGUUGUGAAAGCCCCGGGCUCAACCUGGGAACGGCAUCCGGAACUGUCAGGAUAGAGUGCAGGAGAGGAAGGUAGAAUUCCCGGUGUAGCGGUGAAAUGCGUAGAGCUCGGGAGGAAUACCAGUGGCGAAGGCGGCCUUCUGGACUGACACUGACGCUGAGGUGCGAAAGCGUGGGUAGCAAACAGGAUUAGAUACCCCGGUAGUC
RNAcentral lists this ribosomal RNA (464 nucleotides) under Vreelandella stevensii. Its description in RNAcentral is "partial 16S ribosomal RNA". It matches the Rfam family "Bacterial small subunit ribosomal RNA", at positions 338 to 795 of the family's 1533-position model. Lineage: Bacteria; Pseudomonadati; Pseudomonadota; Gammaproteobacteria; Oceanospirillales; Halomonadaceae. The record is from RNAcentral.